UUGGAAACGACUGCUAAUACCGCAUACGCCCUACGGGGGAAAGGAGGGGACCUUCGGGCCUUCCGCGAUUGGAUGAACCUAGGUGGGAUUAGCUAGUUGGUGAGGUAAUGGCUCACCAAGGCGACGAUCCCUAGCUGUUCUGAGAGGAUGAUCAGCCACACUGGGACUGAGACACGGCCCAGACUCCUACGGGAGGCAGCAGUGGGGAAUAUUGCACAAUGGGCGAAAGCCUGAUGCAGCCAUGCCGCGUGUGUGAAGAAGGCCUUCGGGUUGUAAAGCACUUUCAGUAGGGAGGAAAGGGUGUUACUUAAUACGUAAUAUCUGUGACGUUACCUACAGAAGAAGGACCGGCUAACUCCGUGCCAGCAGCCGCGGUAAUACGGAGGGUCCGAGCGUUAAUCGGAAUUACUGGGCGUAAAGCGUGCGCAGGCGGUUUGUUAAGCCAGAUGUGAAAUCCCCGGGCUCAACCUGGGAAUUGCAUUUGG
This 485-nucleotide ribosomal RNA is filed under the name Shewanella sp. WH009149s. RNAcentral's name for it is "bacterial SSU rRNA". It matches the Rfam family "Bacterial small subunit ribosomal RNA", at positions 150 to 630 of the family's 1533-position model. Lineage: Bacteria; Pseudomonadati; Pseudomonadota; Gammaproteobacteria; Alteromonadales; Shewanellaceae. The record is from RNAcentral.